This 497-nucleotide ribosomal RNA is filed under the name uncultured bacterium. RNAcentral's name for it is "partial 16S ribosomal RNA". It matches the Rfam family "Bacterial small subunit ribosomal RNA", at positions 28 to 507 of the family's 1533-position model. The record is from RNAcentral.
GAUGAACGCUGGCGGCGUGCCUAAUACAUGCAAGUCGAGCGAACAGACGAGGAGCUUGCUCCUCUGACGUUAGCGGCGGACGGGUGAGUAACACGUGGAUAACCUACCUAUAAGACUGGGAUAACUUCGGGAAACCGGAGCUAAUACCGGAUAAUAUAUUGAACCGCAUGGUUCAAUAGUGAAAGACGGUUUUGCUGUCACUUAUAGAUGGAUCCGCGCCGCAUUAGCUAGUUGGUAAGGUAACGGCUUACCAAGGCAACGAUGCGUAGCCGACCUGAGAGGGUGAUCGGCCACACUGGAACUGAGACACGGUCCAGACUCCUACGGGAGGCAGCAGUAGGGAAUCUUCCGCAAUGGGCGAAAGCUUGACGGAGCAACGCCGCGUGAGUAAUGAAGGUCUUCGGAUCGUAAAACUCUGUUAUUAGGGAAGAACAAAUGUGUAAGUAAAUAUGCACGUCUUGACGGUACCUAAUCAGAAAGCCACGGCUAACUACGUG